CCCGGCCGCCUGGCGGCCGCGGGAUUCGAUUGAGUUGAUCCUGGCUCAGGAUGAACGCUGGCGGCGUGCCUAAUACAUGCAAGUCGAGCGAACAGAUAAGGAGCUUGCUCCUUUGACGUUAGCGGCGGACGGGUGAGUAACACGUGGGUAACCUACCUAUAAGACUGGAAUAACUCCGGGAAACCGGGGCUAAUGCCGGAUAACAUUUAGAACCGCAUGGUUCUAAAGUGAAAGAUGGUUUUGCUAUCACUUAUAGAUGGACCCGCGCCGUAUUAGCUAGUUGGUAAGGUAAUGGCUUACCAAGGCAACGAUACGUAGCCGACCUGAGAGGGUGAUCGGCCACACUGGAACUGAGACACGGUCCAGACUCCUACGGGAGGCAGCAGUAGGGAAUCUUCCGCAAUGGGCGAAAGCCUGACGGAGCAACGCCGCGUGAGUGAUGAAGGGUUUCGGCUCGUAAAACUCUGUUAUUAGGGAAGAACAAACGUGU
RNAcentral lists this ribosomal RNA (490 nucleotides) under uncultured bacterium. RNAcentral's name for it is "partial 16S ribosomal RNA". It matches the Rfam family "Bacterial small subunit ribosomal RNA", at positions 1 to 458 of the family's 1533-position model. The record is from RNAcentral.